This 467-nucleotide long non-coding RNA is filed under the name Physcomitrium patens. RNAcentral's name for it is "long non-coding RNA (PPAT_LNC009911)". Lineage: Eukaryota; Viridiplantae; Streptophyta; Bryopsida; Funariales; Funariaceae. The record is from RNAcentral.
UUGAUUUAGGAUUUAGGAUUUGGAUUAAGAUUUGAUUUAGGAUUUAGGGUUUCAUUAGGAUUUGAUUUAGGAUUUAGGGUUUGGAUUAGGAUUUGAUUAGGAUUUAUUUAGGGUUUAGAAUUUAGUUAGGAUUUGGUUUAGGAUUUAAUUAGGGUUUUAUUUAGGAUUUAGGAUUUUAUUAGGAUUUAAGAUUCAAUUAGUUUUGGCCUAAAGUUUUAAUGAAGUUCAAAAGUAUUUUAACUAGAAUUAAAUUAAGAUUGAAUUGAGAUAUAUUUGAGUGAUAUUUGUGAUCCUUCUAUUAUUUCUUUAAGAAUUCUUAUUUUUUGUUUGAAAUUUCUUUGAGGUUUUUUUGAAUUUGAUUAAGCUUGCUUAACAUUAUUAUUGUCUAAUUAGAGUAUUAUUAGUAUUAUAUUAGAAUUAAGAUUUUGUUAUUACAAUUUCUAUUCUUCCUUCUACAGCUAGGUGCC